RNAcentral lists this ribosomal RNA (514 nucleotides) under uncultured bacterium. Its description in RNAcentral is "bacterial SSU rRNA". It matches the Rfam family "Bacterial small subunit ribosomal RNA", at positions 28 to 536 of the family's 1533-position model. The record is from RNAcentral.
GACGAACGCUGGCGGCGUGCUUAACACAUGCAAGUCGAACGGAGAAUAGAAGGAAGCUUGCGAAUUCUAUUCUUAGUGGCGGACGGGUGAGUAACGCGUGGGUAACCAACCCAUAAUACCGGGACAACCCUGGGAAACUGGGGCUAAUACCGGAUACGUUCUUCUUGGGGCAUCCUGGGGAGAAGAAAGGUGGCCUCUGAAUAUGCUGCCGAUUAUGGACGGACCCGCGUCUGAUUAGCUAGUUGGUGGGGUAACGGCCUACCAAGGCGACGAUCAGUAGCCGGCCUGAGAGGGUGGUCGGCCACACUGGGACUGAGACACGGCCCAGACUCCUACGGGAGGCAGCAGUGGGGAAUAUUGCGCAAUGGGCGAAAGCCUGACGCAGCAACGCCGCGUGAGUGAGGAAGGCCUCGGGUUGUAAAGCUCUGUCUUCAGGGACGGAUAAUAGACGGUACCGUGAGGAGGAAGACCACGGCUAACUACGUGCCAGCAGCCGCGGUAAACAUAACUCGUA